Molecule: long non-coding RNA, 2254 nt
Organism: Raphanus sativus (radish)
Lineage: Eukaryota; Viridiplantae; Streptophyta; Magnoliopsida; Brassicales; Brassicaceae
Exons: 8
Source: RefSeq, a predicted model, not a curated record
UCUUUACUUUGUGUGAUGUUUAUUUGUUUUUAGUCCGCAUAUUAAAGGAAAAGACUACAAGACCCUUCAUGGAACUUGCAUAGCUAAAGCUUGAAAAGGCUAAGCCCCGCAAAGUUGGAUCUACGAUGUUGGUACCGAGAAAGGUAGUUCGGGUGAACGAGAUUGGUGAAUUCAUCUUGCAAGAACCAUGAGGAGGAGUUUAACUGGAGUAAGAGUUCCUUAUGCUUUUGAAUUUCUAGAUGUUAACAUAAAAUCAUCAUUACAUCCCCAUUUCAAGAUUCACUGAUCCGAAGGCUUUAUCCUCAAAAACCUAUGUGGGACCUCCUUUGCAGGUUAAUGGACAUAUGUCUUCCUUGUGGAUGGUGGACUUAGGCGAAGAUCACCACGUCUCUUCCAUUACUUCUCUUUAUCACAUCCUCUGUUUUCGUAAAGACACAUGCAGUCCAAGAACUUCAUAACCUGAGUAAAAUAAAAGUUAGUUCGUUUUUAGUUUGAUAUCUAAGAACCUAACCAGCUGAUUUUUGUUGGGAUGCAGCUUAUGUGUGGGGCACUAGAUGACGUUGGGUCAAGAGCAUAUGCAAGAUUUAUCUUAUGGUAAUAAAAAAAAUGGGAAGCACCCGGACAAUGGAGUAACUCUAUGGGUCUUUGCGUGGAUGGAUCGAUCAAUAAAGUCUACUAUGUUUAUUAGGGAAUGUAACAUCUGUGCGUCUUACAUAUAUUAAAGAUUUUUUUACUCACAGAGACACUUUUUGACUUUAGUAUUACACAAUCAGGCACUUCUUACCUGAAGCACACUUUGUAUAUGUGUUAUGACUAAUAUACCCUAUUCCUAACUAAGCUCAUCAAACUGGGUUAUUUUUUUUUAUCAAAUAAACUGGAUUUUUCUAACACGUGACUUUUUCACUAUCUUUUUCUCAAGAAAGCAAAUUAGAACUCCAAUUUCUUUUUUUCUGAGCAACUUUCCCCACUUUCCCCAAUUUCUCAAACCCUAAUUUCGCUUGAAACACAAACCUCUCAACACUUCGCUUUAAAAGAUAGAUUGUUUCCUCUCACCCUCUUCUGAUCUGAGUUUGGUUUUUUUACCUAAGAAAGAUUCAAUCUUUAGAUUUAAUUGAUAAAAAAUCAGUUUCAAGUUUCAUCCUCCUCUGUUCAAGUUCAAGUCCAAACAAUGGCGAUCUCAUCUACACUUCACUCUCAACCGCCAUUGUUGAACCAGCUCGAGUUUGGAUCGGCCGUGGUGACUGUCCGGAGUCUUAGAGUGAAGCUCGAGCAAUAAUCACUCUGUGUUGCCGUGAUCUCAGACCUUCUCCCUGAUCUCUGGUGAACCGUAAAUCAAUGGCGGCAUUUCUCGGAGCUCGAGAUCACCAUUGACGAACCUUGACUUCAAGUUUGUGAAUUUUCACCUCCACCACAAUUUGCUUGAUUAAAGAUAGCUCGGCUGGUAGGCCUAGCUCGGUUUGUAGGGUCGGAUUUACACUCUCCCUGUUGCGGCUCACCAGAUACAUUCUUGCUUGGGAGACUCCUAACUUCUCUAGCCACUGUGGUUGUAUAAAGUCUGCGGUGAAACUUUAAAUGGAUAGCUUCCGCGAAAGUUGAUUCUUUUAAGAAGAUUGAGAAGGAACGAAUGUGUUGUUCACACAUUAAUGUCCAUGUCCACAUCUCUAGUGUCCACAUUUCUAUCAUCCAUGUUGAUGGCAAAUUCAGUUCAUGCCCACAUUAUCUUGAACAUAAGACAGCUUGAGGUGCAUUGUCUCCUGUGGAUAUAGUUUGAGGGUUGGAAAUGAUAACAUGACUACAGAGACAUAAACUCCGUUUCUCAAUUUUCCUACAAGGCCUCUGUGGUCAAAUAUCUAUGUAGAUAACCAUGCAAAAGUUAUGGCUCUGCUGCUGUGUACCAGGAUGCAGAUGGCUCAAAUGCACAUCAAGACUGCUCGUGAAGUUCCUCAAUAUGAAAGCAAUUCUAGAGAGCUUGAUUUCACUCAAAGCAAAGAUAUAACAAAGGAAAAACCAAUGAAAAAGAAACACAACCUUUUGGACGGAGCGAGAGAGUUCACAUAGAUCUGAGAGGAGCUCAUGGAGAUUUAUUUUUUAUUUCUGUUAAAAAAUCUCGCCUUGACUAUUUUCUGGGUUGCGGAUUUACUGAAUAGCUAAUGAGGAUGUCAAUUAUUCAGCGUAUCAGAUGUUGAAUCUGAGUGGGUAUAUGGUCUAUGUUUGACAUAUUCUUAAAAAAAAUGUUGUUAGAUGUCGAAUUCAU